This 459-nucleotide ribosomal RNA is filed under the name uncultured bacterium. RNAcentral's name for it is "partial 16S ribosomal RNA". It matches the Rfam family "Bacterial small subunit ribosomal RNA", at positions 339 to 795 of the family's 1533-position model. The record is from RNAcentral.
CUACGGGGUGCAGCAGUGAGGAAUAUUGCGCAAUGGACGAAAGUCUGACGCAGCCAUGCCGCGUGCAGGAUGACGGCGCUAUGCGUUGUAAACUGCUUUUAUAGGCCAAGAAACCUUCGGACGUGUCCGAAGCUGACGGUAGCAUAUGAAUAAGCACCGGCUAACUCCGUGCCAGCAGCCGCGGUCAUACGGAGGGUGCAAGCGUUAUCCGGAUUUAUUGGGUUUAAAGGGUCCGUAGGCGGAUCAUUAAGUCAGUGGUGAAAGCCGGCAGCUCAACUGUCGAACUGCCAUUGAUACUGGUGAUCUCGAAUACGGUUGAAGUUGGCGGAAUAGGUCAUGUAGCGGUGAAAUGCUUAGAUAUGACCUAGAACACCGAUUGCGAAGGCAGCCAACUAAGCCGUUAUUGACGCUGAGGGACGAAAGCGUGGGGAGCGAACAGGAUUAGAUACCCUAGUAGUC